GACGUAGGGUGCGAGCGUUGUCCGGAUUUAUUGGGCGUAAAGAGCUCGUAGGCGGCUCGUCGCGUCGACCGUGAAAACCCGCGGCUUAACUGCGGGCUUGCGGUUGAUACGGGCGGGCUAGAGUUCGGUAGGGGAGACUGGAAUUCCUGGUGUAGCGGUGAAAUGCGCAGAUAUCAGGAAGAACACCUAUGGCGAAGGCAGCUCUCUGGGACGGUACUGACGCUGAGACGCGAAAGCGUGGGGAGCGAACAGG
This 253-nucleotide ribosomal RNA is filed under the name uncultured bacterium. RNAcentral's name for it is "partial 16S ribosomal RNA". It matches the Rfam family "Bacterial small subunit ribosomal RNA", at positions 524 to 776 of the family's 1533-position model. The record is from RNAcentral.